CAGCUAGUUGGUGAGGUAACGGCUCACCAAGGCUUCGAUCAGUAACCGGCCUGAGAGGGCGAUCGGUCACACCGGAACUGAGACACGGUCCGGACUCCUACGGGAGGCAGCAGUGGGGAAUAUUGGACAAUGGGGGAAACCCUGAUCCAGCGACGCCGCGUGUGUGAAGAAGGCCUGCGGGUUGUAAAGCACUUUUAGUGGGGAUGAAAUGUUCAUGGCUAAUACCCGUGGAUUUUGACCUAACCCACAGAAAAAGCACCGGCUAACUCUGUGCCAGCAGCCGCGGUAAUACAGAGGGUGCAAGCGUUAAUCGGAAUUACUGGGCGUAAAGCGUGCGUAGACGGUUACAUAAGUCGGGUGUGAAAGCCCCGGGCUCAACCUGGGAAUUGCAUUCGAGACUGCGUAGCUAGGGUGCGGAAGAGGGAAGCGGAAUUUCCGGUGUAGCGGUGAAAUGCGUAGAUAUCGGAAGGAACACCAGUGGCGAAAGCGGCUUCCUGGUCCAGCACCGACGUUCAGGCCCGAAAGCGUGGGGAGCAAACAGGAUUAGAUACUCUGGUA
RNAcentral lists this ribosomal RNA (558 nucleotides) under uncultured Gammaproteobacteria bacterium. Its description in RNAcentral is "SSU rRNA". It matches the Rfam family "Bacterial small subunit ribosomal RNA", at positions 242 to 792 of the family's 1533-position model. The record is from RNAcentral. Lineage: Bacteria; Pseudomonadati; Pseudomonadota; Gammaproteobacteria.